CUGCCUGAGCUCAUCAUUGACGCCGAUGAUUUCUUAUCUUUACCGCACCCAAAGGAAAAAAGUAUUGAGGCUAAGGUCAUCCAAGAUGCGAUGCUCACUCUAACCCAAGCGUCAAGGAGUUUAUUUGCUAAACCUAAGGGAGAAUACGCUGUUGUAGAGCUGCAACUUGAGCUCUACUUGAUCGACACUUUCUUAUGCGAUAUUGGCCCACUGCUUUGUGAUGCAAUUGACCGUGGUCUGCUGAAACAUUUAUGCCUUGCCAUUCUCGACGAGGAGGCACCUUGGGAACGUUCUCAGCCAGAUGAAAUAAAGUGUACCCAGGAUAUUGAUGGAUUUUUCCGUGCCUACCCCAGUGUCUUCCAUUGCCUCACAAAGCUCUCUCUGCACAGUUUGGUUUUUGAUGGAUUGGACAUUCACCAUGUCCUUUUUGACUGCUGCAAGCAGCUGAAGCAUUUAGCGCUCUCUUUUUGUGAUGUUGGUCAUUACUGCGCUCCAUGGAAGAUAGAUGCGCCAAACUCAAAACUCUGUGUUCUAGAGGUGGACCGGUGUUGCUUUGAGAGAAUUGAGUUGAUAUCUCUUCCUAAACUGGAGGAGGUCAGUUGGCAUGGUUGGGUAUCUAACUGUGCCCCCUUUUCCUUUGGUUUUGUCCCAUCCCUUGAGGAAUUGGGCCUAUCGAAUUUGUUGCUCUAUGAUCAUCAUUUACUUAAAUUAAGUGAGCUUCUACAUGGAGGAGCAUGCAUACGCACUCUUACAUUGGAUUUCAAAGGAAACGCAAUUUGGGUAACACGUGAAAUCAAACAACUCGCCUACGCAUUCAGAAAGCUAAGGAAGCUGGUCAUACUAGGUAUAUUUGUUGAAUUUGACCUUCUAUGGACUACAACCUUUCUUGAGGCUGCUCCCUCUAUUGAAAUGUUGCAUAUUGCGGUUUGUGAACAUGCAUGUGAGUUUGGUGAUAUCGAGAGCGGGACUGGGAACUUUGCUGAAAGAACUAAUCCUCAGUGGGAGCUGGUCUUCCGCGGCUCCAAAAACUUGCUACUCAGAGAGGUGCACAUCGCCUACUUUAGGCCGCUAGAGCAGCAGCUGACAUUUAUCAAAGCAGUCCUGGAGCGAGCUCCCAAUGUGCAGACAUUCAUUCUGAACAAAGAUGGCGAGAGAUGCAGCGAAUGUGAUGCAAUGGCCCUCGAUGUGCCACCAAGUGUGUCAGGCUCGGCCUGCGUUUCCAAGGAACAAGGAGGAGCAAGACAUGGUGGUCAGACAGGUCACAGACGGCAUCUCCUUCUCUGGCAAGAUAAUUUUCCAGUG
Molecule: ribosomal RNA, 1302 nt
Filed under: Triticum aestivum (bread wheat)
Lineage: Eukaryota; Viridiplantae; Streptophyta; Magnoliopsida; Poales; Poaceae
Description: partial small subunit ribosomal RNA
Source: RNAcentral